RNAcentral lists this unclassified non-coding RNA (1277 nucleotides) under Hevea brasiliensis (rubber tree). The record is from RNAcentral. Lineage: Eukaryota; Viridiplantae; Streptophyta; Magnoliopsida; Malpighiales; Euphorbiaceae.
GCUUGUCGAGGAGCUAAGAUGUCGGCCUUGUCCAGUUGUUGUGGCAGCUCUUUCUGGUGGUUCUAAGGCCUGCAUGUAUAAGUUUUUUCAGAUUGUUAAAGGGAGAUCUGAAGCUCAAGUUAAUCUGGAGGACAGCCAAUUGGUCAUUAACUGCAUCUCAGGUCAAAUUUAUGAUUCUUGUCCUGUUGAUUUCACUGCAGACUUUGGAGCACAAUUUGCUGUGCCUCCCACAAUUCUAAAGUUCCCCGGCUCCACACAGCUACUGUCUAUGGUUGCGAAAGGUUUUACUUCUGGAUUAGAUGCCCUAUUCAUAACUAGGUUUGGAUCCCAGCGUUCUGAGUAUUGGCGAACUCUUUACUCCUCAGUUAGUUUUGGGGCCCCUUUUCUCGUUUUGUGCUCAGAAAAUGAUGAUAUUGCACCAUAUCAAUCUGUAUGUAAAUUUGCUCACAGCUUGCAAGACAUGGGGGCAGAUAUCAAAAUGAUAAUGUGGAAGAGUUCCUGUCACGUAGGCAUGUACAAGAGUGAUCCCAUCCAGUACAGCAUUGCUAUAGAUCAACUACUUGCUCAGGCAACUUCAGUUUUCUCUAGCAGAAUUAGGAAACUAGGAGAGAGAAAUGGCUUCGAUGAUAUGCAUGAUGAAAUAUCUCACAUGAUUUGUGACCUCCAAAAUGCAGCAGCUGACUCGAAUGGAAGUUUUAGAAGAGUUGCAGGGGGACCAAAGGAUCACUUUUUCUUGCCAAGCUCAUCUGACCGUCAUAAUGUUAGUGAUUCUGGCUCCUCCUCCUCCGAAAGGAAAAAUCUGCCUAUUUGGCCAAAUCCCAGUUUAAGUGCACACACUGUGCUUGGCCAAAUCCUUUUUGAUGCUUGUGUUCCUAAGAAUGUUGAAGGUUGGGAUGUUAAGUGUACUUCUUCCUUAAAAGGCCAACCAUUUUCCUCAGUGCGUAAGGAUUCACCUCUAAAUGCCAUCAAAAUCUUCCGCCGUUCACGGUUAUGAGGCCUUUUCUUGUGGAACUCACUUCGGCUUUUCACAUUUCUACUAGAUGCACUGUAUGAUUAAUAUCAUAAUUUUACCUCUAUGUCUAAAAGGGUUAUGAUGAAAUAUUGGAGGUCAUUUUUCAAGGUGAAACUAACUAAUGAUCUGAUUUGGCUGGCUAUUAGAACAAAGUGUACAGGUUAAAUGAGUAACACAUCUCCUAUCUUAAUGGGAUGGGCAGACAUGAUGGUGCUGUGUAUGAGAGGUGUUAAUAUAUAGAAAGCAGCAUGUACCAUUUGAUUCG